Molecule: non-coding RNA, 1503 nt
Organism: Paramuricea clavata
Lineage: Eukaryota; Metazoa; Cnidaria; Anthozoa; Malacalcyonacea; Plexauridae
Source: the annotation of a GenBank genome assembly
CAUUCCCCGGUUCGAUCUGGGUGAUGGCAUGUGCAUUGCAUACGAGUACUCGCCAUAAUCACUUGAAUACUAAGGAAAUCAACUGAAAUUUAUUUGGUGUCAUUUCAGCAUGUUUUUAAAAGAAUGAGAAAAAUAUGUUUGUUGGAGGAAUAGCAUCUAUUGAUCUAAUUAUUGGGAUCCGUGUUGGACAAAUAACCACAGCAUAUUUAAAAUAGUUUGCCAUAAAUUGACUUUUGGCUGACACAUUUUCCUGUAAAUUUUACUUUACCAGCCCCUUUAUUAAAUCGUGUUUGUAUCAAUCAUUCUCUGGUCUAUUGCAAAUCAAUGUUGAAGCUUUAUUUAAAGGUGAUGUAAAGUCUGUUAUGUAAACAAACGCUUUGUUUACAUUUUGAACUAAGUGCUACAGUUGUAAAAUAUGAUUAGAUAUAUAUUAUGCUCAAUUUUUAACACUUCUCUGGUUCGCUAUGCUUGUGAAUUAAUUAAUAGAGACUAGAGAUUCAAUUCAAGAAAGUUCGGAAGGUGCGAAAUACUAACAACAUUCCAAUGGUCGGGUCCCGACCAUUGAAAUGUAGGCCUGCGCAGAACUUAUGCGCAGAACGGAUUUUACAUCACCUUUAAUCAAGUACAGAUUAAGACUCUUAAAGGACAAUUCACAUGAUCCGACACUACCAUAGGGGGCUACCAUUGGGGGGGGGCUGAUUAGUCAGGGGCAAUUAUUAAGUCAUUAUUUCCCUCUCAAACUUUACAGAUUAUCGCUAGUUUACAAAUUGUUGGGGGGGGGGGCUGAAGCCCCCCUCCCCCGUUGCUACAACCCUGUCCGAUUAAUUGGAUACUAAACUUACCUACCAUGGUAUUGCAAUCAGUUCGUUUGCAAAUUCUCAUAAAUAUUACAGUCCAUUACAGUCCUUGUUAAUUAAUAAACACAUACAGUACAGCAUCAGCAGGAGAAUUGUAUCCAACUAAUUGGAUACUGUGAAAAGAAAAAGAAAAAAUGAUAUGGUACCCCUGAUGCCAGUAAUUAAUAAUACAGUAGACUAGUUCCAAACAAACACUAGGUGGAAUUUUCCUAAUUCUCAGUCAAAGCUCCCACAUAUAUUUAAAAAUUAACAUGGCCAACUGAAUCCUUCACCUAACAUGGCCUCUCCCUGAAAUACAUCCACAGCAAAGCCAUCAAUCUCUUUGGGGAGAAUUUCAUCGGGAGGUAUUUCAGAUUCAGGUUUUUUCUUCCUUACCCAGAUAACAAGGCAAAGUUCAUCUGUUUUCCGACCGCGAACCGUCUUGUAGUUGAUAUCGACCGCAGUGACAUUUGGCCAUGCGAGAAGACGAUCGAUGUGCUUUUGUUUUACGACUCGUAGUUCCUCUCUAAUAUCAGUCAUUGCUCACUUUGAAGAAGGAAAUGUUAACAAUAAUGUCGAAUAAAUCCAAAAACGUUCAAAAUGCCAUAUCUUCGACUUGUCUGGAAAAGGAGCUACAAGCCUACAACCUUCGAACCUUGUAAAUAAA